Molecule: non-coding RNA, 756 nt
Organism: Vicugna pacos (alpaca)
Lineage: Eukaryota; Metazoa; Chordata; Mammalia; Artiodactyla; Camelidae
Source: the annotation of a RefSeq genome assembly
CUGGUGCUUUGCAUAGGCCCCCGGAGUCCUAGGCUGGCUGCUCAGAGCUCUUAUUAAAGGGGUUUCCUGGAGACACAGCUUGAGUGCACCAGACAGGUGAGCAGCAGCAAGAUGGGGCCACAGCCACGCCUGCUCACCUUCCUGAUGCUCUGGGUCUCAGGUGUCUGUGGGGACAUCGUGAUGACCCAGUCUCCCAGCUCCGUGACUGCAUCUGUAGGAGAGAAGGUCACUAUCAACUGUAAGUCCAGCCAGAGUGUGGUAUCAGGCUCUAACCAGAAAAGCUACUUAAACUGGUACCAGCAGAGACCUGGACAGUCUCCUAGGCUGCUCAUCUACUAUGCGUCCACCCAGGAAUUGGGGAUCCCUGAUCGAUUCAGCGGCAGUGGGUCCACAACAGAUUUCACUCUCACGAUCAGCAGUGUCCAGCCUGAAGAUGCGGCAGUGUAUUACUGCCAGCAGGCUUAUAGCGCUCCAUCCACAGUGAUUCAGCCUCGAACAAAAACCUCCUCCCCAGGGCCACGGGUCAGUGAGUGUUUGCCCCACCGCGCCAGCUGCUGCUUUCUUGCUCAGCCCUGCGUCUCUCUUAGCUGUAGGAGAGGCUGUGUCUCCUCUACAUUGUUCCCGAAUUUUUGCAUCAUCUACGUCUGUGUCGCUGUCCAUACAGAUAGAUUUAUAUUAUUGAGCCAAUCACAGCUUCUACUGUAUCUUGCGGAGAAGGGACACGUGUGCUUCACGCCCUGAGGCAUCAGCUCUCAG